UACGUAGGGUGCAAGCGUUAAUCGGAAUUACUGGGCGUAAAGCGUGCGCAGGCGGUUUUGUAAGUCAGAUGUGAAAGCCCCGGGCUUGACCUGGGAACUGCGUUUGAAACUACAAGGCUAGAGUGUGGCAGAGGGGGGUGGAAUUCCACGUGUAGCAGUGAAAUGCGUAGGGAUGUGGAGGAACACCGAUGGCGAAGGCAGCCCCCUGGGUUAACACUGACGCUCAGGCACGAAAGCGUGGGGAGCAAACAGG
This 253-nucleotide ribosomal RNA is filed under the name uncultured bacterium. RNAcentral's name for it is "partial 16S ribosomal RNA". It matches the Rfam family "Bacterial small subunit ribosomal RNA", at positions 524 to 776 of the family's 1533-position model. The record is from RNAcentral.